AACGAACGCUGGCGGCAUGCCUAACACAUGCAAGUCGAACGAAGGCUUCGGCCUUAGUGGCGCACGGGUGCGUAACGCGUGGGAAUCUGCCCUUUGGUUCGGAAUAACAGCUGGAAACGGCUGCUAAUACCGGAUGAUGACGAAAGUCCAAAGAUUUAUCGCCAGAGGAUGAGCCCGCGUUGGAUUAGGUAGUUGGUGGGGUAAAGGCCUACCAAGCCGACGAUCCAUAGCUGGUCUGAGAGGAUGAUCAGCCACACUGGGACUGAGACACGGCCCAGACUCCUACGGGAGGCAGCAGUGGGGAAUAUUGGAAAAUGGGCGCAAGCCUGAUCCAGCAAUGCCGCGUGAGUGAUGAAGGCCCUAGGGUUGUAAAGCUCUUUUACCCGGGAAGAUAAUGACUGUACCGGGAGAAUAAGCCCCGGCUAACUCCGUG
This 433-nucleotide ribosomal RNA is filed under the name uncultured bacterium. RNAcentral's name for it is "partial 16S ribosomal RNA". It matches the Rfam family "Bacterial small subunit ribosomal RNA", at positions 29 to 507 of the family's 1533-position model. The record is from RNAcentral.